RNAcentral lists this long non-coding RNA (200 nucleotides) under Elaeis guineensis (African oil palm). Its description in RNAcentral is "long non-coding RNA (EGUI_LNC042212)". Lineage: Eukaryota; Viridiplantae; Streptophyta; Magnoliopsida; Arecales; Arecaceae. The record is from RNAcentral.
UGGGUCUGCAUCUAAUCCUUACUCUUCCGGAUCCAUCUACAAUAAACACAUAAAAUAAAAAAAUAUAUAUAUAUUAAGAAUCAAUCAAUAAAAAAUUAAUAUUUAAAUUUUAAUAGUUAUAAAUAUAUAAUAUUUUAAUUAAAUUAUUCUAUAUAUGCAUCUCAUCCAUAAUAACCUCCUCAUCCACAAGAGGUCGUGUU